GGUGUAGGUGGCUCUAUAAGUCAGAAGUGAAAGCCCUGGGCUCAACCCAGGAAGUGCUUUUGAUACUGCAGAGCUUGAAUGUGGGAGAGGAUCGUGGAAUUCCAGGUGUAGUGGUGAAAUACGUAGAUAUCUGGAGGAACACCGGUGGCGAAGGCGGCGAUCUGGCCCAACAUUGACACUGAGACCCGAAAGCGUGGGGAUCAAACA
RNAcentral lists this ribosomal RNA (207 nucleotides) under uncultured bacterium. RNAcentral's name for it is "partial 16S ribosomal RNA". It matches the Rfam family "Bacterial small subunit ribosomal RNA", at positions 568 to 774 of the family's 1533-position model. The record is from RNAcentral.